This 492-nucleotide ribosomal RNA is filed under the name uncultured bacterium. RNAcentral's name for it is "partial 16S ribosomal RNA". It matches the Rfam family "Bacterial small subunit ribosomal RNA", at positions 29 to 507 of the family's 1533-position model. The record is from RNAcentral.
AGUGAACGCUGGCGGUAGGCCUAACACAUGCAAGUCGAACGGCAGCACAGUAAGAGCUUGCUCUUACGGGUGGCGAGUGGCGGACGGGUGAGGAAUACAUCGGAAUCUACUUUUUCGUGGGGGAUAACGUAGGGAAACUUACGCUAAUACCGCAUACGACCUACGGGUGAAAGCAGGGGAUCUUCGGACCUUGCGCGAUUGAAUGAGCCGAUGUCGGAUUAGCUAGUUGGCGGGGUAAAGGCCCACCAAGGCGACGAUCCGUAGCUGGUCUGAGAGGAUGAACCGCCACACUGGAACUGAGACACGGUCCAGACUCCUACGGGAGGCAGCAGUGGGGAAUAUUGGACAAUGGGGGCAAGCCUGAUCCAGCCAUACCGCGUGGGUGAAGAAGGCCUUCGGGUUGUAAAGCCCUUUUGUUGGGAAAGAAAAGCAGCAGGUUAAUACCCCGCUGUUCUGACGGUACCCAAAGAAUAAGCACCGGCUAACUUCGUG